UAAAUGUUUCAGAUUUGUUUC
Molecule: non-coding RNA, 21 nt
Filed under: Caenorhabditis elegans
Lineage: Eukaryota; Metazoa; Nematoda; Chromadorea; Rhabditida; Rhabditidae
Source: RNAcentral